Molecule: long non-coding RNA, 701 nt
Organism: Suricata suricatta (meerkat)
Lineage: Eukaryota; Metazoa; Chordata; Mammalia; Carnivora; Herpestidae
Exons: 3
Source: RefSeq, a predicted model, not a curated record
CCCUGCCAGCACCCCGACCCCGGGCAGUUAGGGGCACAGACACCCGAAGCAUUCCCGCUUAGUCCACUUCCGGGAGGGUGCGCUUGCAAAGGUAGUUUUCACCUGGACGCCCCUGGGUAAGAAGAGUGGGGGCCUGACGCCAGCUCCUCCCCCAGGCGCCCCUCUGGCGCCACCGGGAGCCAGCCCACUGCUCCGCAGUCCUCCCGUCGCCAUGGGAACGCUGCCCCGCUGCAGGACUAAAGAUGGGGUGCAGGCCGGGCAGAUGCUGGGGGUGCAGGAGUUUGCGUGGCGACGAGGAGGCUUUCCAGCAGCGGCGCCCAGGGGAGCGGAGCGCCCUAGAUGCCGCGUCUCGUGCCUGGAGCCGCGCGAGUCCGUCUCUCUGCUCCUUCGGCAUCGCUGAGGGCAUCCGCACCUUCUGCCUCCGGCUCUGCCCGACAAGGACCAGCUGUGCCCCGCUUCGGGGUCCUGUGGCAGCCGCACUGGGUGUCUGAACAGUCGGGCCAUUGUUGAAUAUGAGCCCUGCCCUCAUGGCCCCUCUGCCCUGGUGCUGGUGGCCAGGGACCGUUGGCAUAUAUGAAUUCUGGCUUUAUUGUACCUCUGCGGCUUCACAUUCUUCACGGAUUUCACGACGCUGCUGCUCUAACGUACAGAAACUUCCCCGUUUCCCACAGUAAUAAAUAACGUUGCUAUGGCAACACGUA